Molecule: ribosomal RNA, 498 nt
Filed under: uncultured Streptococcus sp.
Lineage: Bacteria; Bacillati; Bacillota; Bacilli; Lactobacillales; Streptococcaceae
Description: bacterial SSU rRNA
Rfam family: Bacterial small subunit ribosomal RNA
Source: RNAcentral
GACGAACGCUGGCGGCGUGCCUAAUACAUGCAAGUAGAACGCUGAAGAGAGGAGCUUGCUCUUCUUGGAUGAGUUGCGAACGGGUGAGUAACGCGUAGGUAACCUGCCUGGUAGCGGGGGAUAACUAUUGGAAACGAUAGCUAAUACCGCAUGAAAUUGCUUCUCGCAUGAUAAUUAAUUGAAAGAUGCAAUUGCAUCACUACCAGAUGGACCUGCGUUGUAUUAGCUAGUUGGUGAGGUAACGGCUCACCAAGGCGACGAUACAUAGCCGACCUGAGAGGGUGAUCGGCCACACUGGGACUGAGACACGGCCCAGACUCCUACGGGAGGCAGCAGUAGGGAAUCUUCGGCAAUGGGGGGAACCCUGACCGAGCAACGCCGCGUGAGUGAAGAAGGUUUUCGGAUCGUAAAGCUCUGUUGUAAGAGAAGAACGGGUGUGAGAGUGGAAAGUUCACACUGUGACGGUAUCUUACCAGAAAGGGACGGCUAACUACGUGC